UUUGCGCUAACGAUGGAAGCGGCAUCCUUUUUCUUUAGAUUUGGAAAAUGCUUUGGAAAGAAAAAGAUAUAGCGGACAGCGUGUUAAAGC
This 90-nucleotide small RNA is filed under the name Cloacibacterium normanense. RNAcentral's name for it is "Flavo-1 RNA". It matches the Rfam family "Flavo-1 RNA". The record is from Rfam by way of RNAcentral. Lineage: Bacteria; Pseudomonadati; Bacteroidota; Flavobacteriia; Flavobacteriales; Weeksellaceae.